Molecule: long non-coding RNA, 734 nt
Filed under: Mytilus galloprovincialis (Mediterranean mussel)
Lineage: Eukaryota; Metazoa; Mollusca; Bivalvia; Mytilida; Mytilidae
Source: RNAcentral
UGCCAAUCUUCAUAUAUUUAUUAAAUAGAAACAUUUUCAAGUUGUAGAACAGUAUUCUUAUGCAGCACAAUUGUAAUGCUGGUAUACAAUUAAAAAUUGAAAUUUUUUUUCGGACUCUAUUCACCAGUUUUUCUUAUUAUUUUCAUAAUUUUUAUGUGACCAUUUGAACACUUUAUAAUUCAUUCUGUCAUUGUUUAUGUCACUACAUCUUGCCCAGUGCCUGAAGACAAAUGUCUAUUGUUUUAUUCCAUGUCCCCGUUAAUAGCAUCAAUUGGCAUAUACUUGCCAACACCCAUAAAAAAAUCUGAUAGCGCAGUUCUAGACAGCCUUUGUAUAAGAAAAAUGUUUGCUGAACCGAACGGUUCCUAAAAUUAACAACUUUAUGUUUAUCUAAGUUCACAUUUAUACAAUUGGUAACAUAACAAUUACUUAAUACAUCUAAUAGAGCAUGUAAAUUAUUUUCAGCAAUAAAUACAAUGUCAUCAGCAUAUAAAAGUAAACAAACUUUAUCACCAUCAAUGUCUACACCAAUAUCUAGCGCUUUCAUUACAUCAAUUAAACUAUUAAUAAAAGUAUUAACCAUAAGAGGCGAUAAUAAACAUCCUUGUAUAAACUCGAAUUAACGCUAAACCAAUCUGUCAUAUUGCCAUUAUGUUUAAUACAACAUUCUACAUGUAAAUAUAUAUCUUUCAAUGUAAUUCAAAAUGUGUACUUAUUCUUAAAUCAUCAUCAAA